GGAAGACAGGUGGAGCCUACUCAUUCUUACCACAGAAGAUGUUCAUCAAGCAUCUUACCUGAAGUUACUCACACACCUGCUCGUGGGGAAAUAGAGAAGAUACAUAAUCUGUCCCAUAGCGUUUCAAGUUGCAGUGCAACAACAGUACCACAGUCAGGAGAAGCUGCAAAUUUGGACGACACUGAUGAGAAAGUAAAGGUGCCAGUUGUUCAGCAGAGAGGACGUUUUAAGGUUACAUCUGAGAAUGUUGAAUUAGAAAAGGUGGCCCCAACUCCUAUUCUGCAAAAGAGUCAAAGCAUGCAGGUUAUUAGCUCGCACAAUGUAACUCC
Molecule: long non-coding RNA, 329 nt
Organism: Neltuma alba
Lineage: Eukaryota; Viridiplantae; Streptophyta; Magnoliopsida; Fabales; Fabaceae
Exons: 5
Source: RefSeq, a predicted model, not a curated record